Physeter macrocephalus (sperm whale) is the source of this 718-nucleotide long non-coding RNA. RefSeq lists it as uncharacterized. The record is from RefSeq and is a predicted model, not a curated record. Lineage: Eukaryota; Metazoa; Chordata; Mammalia; Artiodactyla; Physeteridae. The transcript has 6 exons.
AAAGUGCCUAUCUCAAAAUGUUCAGAGGAUUGAAUGUAAAAAUGCAGCUCUUGACACACUGCCCAUCAACUAGAUACUUUCCCAUCCCCUGUCAUCUGGUGCCAUCAUCUUUACUUUGAGGGAUGCAUGAGGAGGAGAGUAGUCUGGAGAGCGUGGUCAUUCAUGGUGUCCACCUUCACUGGCCCUGAUAAGUGUCAGAGAAAAGAUAAUGAGUAGGGCACAAUCCUUCCCUCACAGAAUUUGCAGUCCAUUGAGGGCAAUAGAUAUGCAUAGCUACUACCUUGAAGUGAUGGGCUUUACAAGGACAGGAUGAGCAAAGGGCUGUGAAUGCCAGAAGAAAAGAGGCCUCUAAUGCACCUAGAACUGUGUGACUGUUAAAGUAACCCAGGGGCCAGAGGCCAGCCCCGGUCCCCGCAGUGAUGCCAUUGUAGCAGCUGCAGAGCCGCCGUUACACCGUCGUAGCAACAGCUAGAGAGCAAGGUGAAGCCAGGGCCGGCAACCUCAGUGUUGUGGUUAACAGGUGUUGAAGCAAGUAUGAAGAAAAUGUUAAGAUCAAGCCACAGCCGUGUUUUGAGAGGUGAUGGGCAAGUUGAGGAAUUCCUGACACCUUUGGACCUUGAAGCAAUAGAGAUUUGUCCCAGGCCAGAGGCCUCCAGUCUGGUGGAUUUGGCAGAUGUCCUCAGAUAUUUAUGCCUUGUUUAAAGAAGUUCUCUUCAAC